AUACGGAGGACGCGAGCGUUAUCCGGAUUCAUUGGGUUUAAAGGGUGCGCAGGCGGCCGUGCAAGUCAGCGGUGAAAGCCCGGGGCUCAACCCCGGAAGUGCCGUUGAUACUGCGUGGCUGGAAUGCGGUCGAGGCGGGCGGGACGUGGCGGGUAGCGGGGAAAUGCGUAGAUAUGCCACAGAACGCCGAUAGCGGAGGCAGCUCGCCAGGCCUGCAUUGACGCUCGGGCACGAAAGCGGGGGGAUCGAACAGGAUUAGAUACCCUGGUAGUCCACGCCGUAAACGAUGGGCGCUCGUCGUCGGCGACAGACAGUCGGCGGCCAAGCGAAAGCGAUAAGCGCCCCACCUGGGGAGUACGGUCGCAAGGCUGAAACUCAAAUGAAUUGACGGGG
This 393-nucleotide ribosomal RNA is filed under the name uncultured bacterium. RNAcentral's name for it is "partial 16S ribosomal RNA". It matches the Rfam family "Bacterial small subunit ribosomal RNA", at positions 523 to 918 of the family's 1533-position model. The record is from RNAcentral.